Molecule: long non-coding RNA, 827 nt
Filed under: Anser cygnoides (Swan goose)
Lineage: Eukaryota; Metazoa; Chordata; Aves; Anseriformes; Anatidae
Description: lncRNA (ENSACDG00005012564.1)
Source: RNAcentral
CAGGAAGAUGCUUAAGUCAACUUUGCUGCCUAGGAGAAAUGGAAAGACUGGUCUUAAGUUUAUGUGCCAGUUAAAUUUAUAGAAGGCUCAAACAAAAUGGGAUUUAAGUUGUACAUAGACUUCUGUGCACAGGUAUUUGUGCUCUGCCAAAACAAAACAAAACAAAACAAAAACAACUGGUAAAUACUCAUUCAAACAUUAGUAUUUUCACAACUUUUUAUUUUCACUUUUUGCAAGCACUGGAGUUUGUGAACUUUAUUAUGCUAAAAUACACAUGAAAACCAAUGAGAAAAAUCAAAUGAGCUUUGUUAAGCUCGAACUCUCUGUUAUUCUAGACAGAGCACAGCUGGAAAUCCUUUGAGCUUUGCUGGCUAUUCCUCUGGAAUAAAGNNNNNNNNNNNNNNNNNNNNCCCGCAUUCUCUUCAUUGUUGCUAUGUGCCUCUGAAUCCUGGAUACUAGACUGUCUCCUCUGAGCAACAGGCAAACAGACAUGGCUCAAUGCAAGGGAACACGGCAUAUAAAAGUCAAUAGAAGCUUCCUUGGAGACUCCAGUAUCUUUCAGGAUUAUUUUGCUGUGGCUUGCUGCACUUAGCUGUUAAAAUCAAGGGAACAUGGUGAACUGUACAUCAAAUAAGAAAAAACAAAACAAAACAAAACAAAAAAACCCACACUGAUCACCUUGUGAACUUUUCCAUGCAUCAAUAUUCUACUGGAUCAAAAAGUAAAUGUGAUUGCUCUUUUCAGUUUCAGAAACUCCUUUGACUCCAUGACCAAUCCAAAUAUGACUAGUAAAUAAAUUCAUGAGAAAUUUACUUGUUAGAAGAAAU